Molecule: transfer RNA, 77 nt
Filed under: Firmicutes bacterium ADurb.Bin099
Lineage: Bacteria; Bacillati; Bacillota
Also listed under: 1 other name
Description: tRNA-Arg
Rfam family: tRNA
About the family: Transfer RNA (tRNA) molecules are approximately 80 nucleotides in length. Their secondary structure includes four short double-helical elements and three loops (D, anti-codon, and T loops).
Source: RNAcentral
GCGCCUGUAGCUCAAUUGGAUAGAGCGUUUGACUACGGAUCAAAAGGCUGGGGAUUCGAAUUCUCUCGGGCGCGCCA